Manihot esculenta (cassava) is the source of this 3345-nucleotide long non-coding RNA. RefSeq lists it as uncharacterized. The record is from RefSeq and is a predicted model, not a curated record. NCBI's taxonomy places the organism in Eukaryota, Viridiplantae, Streptophyta, Magnoliopsida, Malpighiales, Euphorbiaceae. The transcript is spliced from 2 exons.
CAAAAUCCUACUCUCUCUUUUUUAUGGUAAAUAAUCUCAACAGUUCAUUCUCAUUUAAUCUCAAUCGUUCCUUUUCCACUGUAUAUUCAUUCUUUUCUUUCAUCAUAAUCUCAACCGUUCAUUUUCCACUGUUCAUCAUUUUCUUUCAUCAAAACCCUACUAUCCCUUUUUUUUUUUUCCUAAGAUGCUGCCGCCCUUCUCUUUUUCUUCUCCAUGGCCGUUGUCUCAACAUCUUCUCCUUUUCUUUCUUUUCGACACCCUCGCUCUCCUCUCUUCCUUGCACAUUAACACAUUUUCAAACAAGCCACGAUAUGAUUUAUUCGUCCACUGACGAAGAUGAAAGUCCCCACAUCAAUGCCGAUUGUAUGAUGAAGCCAUGACCGAUUCCUUCAUAGACGAAGCCGUGGACAUUAUGAUGGAUGCGAAGUUGAUGGUCGAUUCCAUUCCACUUGCUCUAAUUUUUCUUGCACCGUUGAAGUUUUUUCUUCUCCUAUCUUCACUCUAGAAAGCAAGCUCAUGAAUAAGGCUCUUGUUUGUUUUUUUUUUUUUUUUGUCUUGAAUAUGAUUUUUGUGUAACUUUAAUUGAUACCUACAAAUGUAGGUGAUUAUUUGAUGCUUGAAUCAUGUUUGAUGAAAUUUCUCAAAGGAAACUAACAUAGUUGAAUUUUAAUUUAAUUUUAAAUUUUGAUUUGUAUUCAGUUUUGAGUGAUAUGUAUAAAUAUGGACCAUUAGUUGAUACUUGAUAACUGUUCGAUAAAAUUACUCAAAGAACCACGAUUAUCCUUGUUUUUUUAUUUGAAUAUAAAUUUUUAGUUGAUUUAAUAUCAAAUUGAUUUUCGAACCAAAUCGAAUAGAAAUUAUAGGAUUUGAUUUAGUUCAUCUCCCUUACUAGUCCGAUUCAGUUGCAUUUUUAUAAUUAAUAAAUUCGAUUAUUUCGGUUUUGGAUGGUUGAAUUCAGUAGUAAACCAAACUGAUCGAUGCUCAGGCCUACUCUUAUCCUUCUUUUCUCCUGCCUUCUCUUAGUUCUUGUCUCUAUCUGUAUGGAGAAUGGUAUAUCACAUUUAAUUUCCUUUACUAACUCAACUACAAUGAUAAAAUUUUGGAGUUGGGGGCAGAGCAUUAAAUUACAACAUCACACUUUGGUGGGAAAAUUAAUAUUUGUAAAGUCUUUUAGUGCUAUGGUGCUUAAAGUGAUUCUAAGUCUUUUAGUGCUAUGGUGCUUAAAGUGAUUCUGGAAAAAGCAUAGAAUUUGAGAGAAGGGUUUAAGAUCUCUUCUAAAUGGAGCAAUAUAUUUCUCUUCUCCUUUUCCAAAUAGGAAGAUGCUUCCUUUAUGUUGCAAAAUAGGUCUUGGUCAAUUAAUAAUAACCUCUUGGUUAUUAGAAACUGGUCGGAGGAUCAAGCUUUUGAAGACCUUCAAUUUAAAUCAUCUCCCUUUUGGGUUCAGGUUUUCGACUUGUCUCUAAAUCAAAUGUUUGUGUAAAAUCCAAAAACUAUUAGAGAUCUCUUAGGUAGUUUUAUAGAGCUAGAUUCCUCUGAUUUGAACAUUUCUGGAGCUAUGCAUUUGUUGCGGUUAAAAGCUCAGAUCAAUAUAGGAAAACCUUUCAUAACUAGUUUUCAUAGGAAGGGAAGUGAUGGUUUAAUUGGCUAGGUUAGCUUCAAGUAUGAACGCCUUUCGGAUAUUUGUUUUAAUUGCGGAUCUUUAGGACAUUUUUGUAGUACUUGUCCUCAUCUUAGAAUAAGAACAGAUUGGAAAACUAGGAGAAGGCAAGCUUAUGGACCAUGGUUGAGAAUCUCUUCCCCUCGCAGGAAUGUAGCUUACUCGACAUCCUCUUCUACACCUGAUUCCAACCCCUCUCACCACCAUCAUCCUCUCUAUCAUUGUCUUGGUCUCUUUUCAUCUUUCAUCAACCCUCCUUCUAUAUGCAGUACUGUAUUACCUUUUACCCACACAGAAAUCAAAUCUGAAACCCCCUUUUCAUUCGUUCCAAACCAGUUUCGACCUCCCCAAAACCACUCUGCAGAGUCUCUAGUAGUUUUCACCAAAAAUGGAAAAAAGGUUUUUGUAGAAGAAAAAGAGCAAUCAGGGCUGUUACUUGACUGUUCCUCGAGCCUCAAGCCUUCAUUAAUUUCUCUCACCAUAGACGCAGUCGUUGUGCCACCCAAGGAGGACAUUCCUUCCAUAUUUAACAGUUACCUCCGCUCAAUGGGUAAAGUAGAGGUGGAUGCUGAAUGGAUUUUUCGACAAUUUUCAUUUUUGGUGGAUUAUGUACAAUAGGCCACUUUUAAUGCUUGGUGAGAAUUCCAGACAGUGUCAAAUGCAAUGGAGAAAGAAGACAACUUAAAAAAGUCUAUCCCUUUGCAAAUUGAUGGACAGGAUUCUGGUCGGCCUCAACCCGUCAUACUUUUAGGCCUAAGGGCUGUUUUAGUUGCCGAAAGCUUGAUUUUGGAAAAAAGGAAUAUAGAGAACUUAGGCUCACAAAAAGAGUUUUGGGUUGGAUCAUCUUCUUUUAAGGAGGGUAUGGAGUCAAAUCCUUUUGGCUAUCAAGAAAGAAUCCAAUUUAUUACUAGGCUGGCUACCCAUCGUUUGAAGGAUAGUUUAAAAAUCCAAGAAGCAGAAGAAAUGGAAUGAAAGGAAGCUGGGUUUUCUUUCAAAAUGUCCCAAACUAUCCAUUCAAUGCCAUUUCAUAGGACCACAAGACUUUUUACCUCUUGAUCAAUUGAUUUAGCUUGCAGCUAUUUUAACAAACAAAAAAGACUUUAACUCCAAGAGUCUUGGGGGAGAAAUCCUAUUUGGACAUUUCCUUCAAGAAUCCAAAUGCAAAGAAAGGAAAGAGUUGGAAGAGACAAGCACGUAUGAGCCAUGGAGUUGUGAUUAGAGAGCUACCAUCUCCAAAUGGGGAAGGUGAAUUUGUCUCUCAAAAUGGGAAGAAACGAAAGGAAGAAUUACCGAAUAAAAGCAGUAAGAAGCUCAAAAAUAAUUUUUCGUAUUAUCUGGAAAUGGUGGAGGAGCGCAGCAAAAAAUAGUCCCACACGCAGCCAUGAUUCUUCUGAGUUGAAAUUGUCAAGACAGAAUAAAGUUGAGGUGGUCAGGAAGAAGAUGCAGAAAUGCGGCUAUUUUGAUCUUUGUAUAGUUGAGCUAAUCGGGCUUGCUGGAGGCCUUUGCUUAGCUUAGAAGAUUGGUAUGGAUGUUUAUGCGGUCAACUCUUGCUCUUUUCUUUUUCAUAAGAAUGUUUAUGAUCAAUCUAUUAGAAAAUCUUGGGAUGCUUUGCUAGUAUAUGUUAGUAGUGAAGACCCAGUUAAAAUUGCCCAGUUUGAUUUCAUUUUGAAUUACAAAGCUUUUUUGUC